Molecule: ribosomal RNA, 730 nt
Filed under: bacterium SCSIO13222
Lineage: Bacteria
Description: bacterial SSU rRNA
Rfam family: Bacterial small subunit ribosomal RNA
Source: RNAcentral
AGCUUGCUGGGUACUCGAGUGGCGAACGGGUGAGUAACACGUGGGUGAUCUGCCCUGCACUCUGGGAUAAGCCUGGGAAACUGGGUCUAAUACCGGAUAUGACCAACUGUCGCAUGGUGGUUGGUGGAAAGCUUUUGCGGUGUGGGAUGGGCCCGCGGCCUAUCAGCUUGUUGGUGGGGUAAUGGCCUACCAAGGCGACGACGGGUAGCCGACCUGAGAGGGUGAUCGGCCACACUGGGACUGAGACACGGCCCAGACUCCUACGGGAGGCAGCAGUGGGGAAUAUUGCACAAUGGGCGCAAGCCUGAUGCAGCGACGCCGCGUGAGGGAUGACGGCCUUCGGGUUGUAAACCUCUUUCACCAGGGACGAAGCGUGAGUGACGGUACCUGGAGAAGAAGCACCGGCCAACUACGUGCCAGCAGCCGCGGUAAUACGUAGGGUGCGAGCGUUGUCCGGAAUUACUGGGCGUAAAGAGCUCGUAGGCGGUUUGUCGCGUCGUCUGUGAAAUUCUGCAACUCAAUUGCAGGCGUGCAGGCGAUACGGGCAGACUUGAGUACUACAGGGGAGACUGGAAUUCCUGGUGUAGCGGUGAAAUGCGCAGAUAUCAGGAGGAACACCGGUGGCGAAGGCGGGUCUCUGGGUAGUAACUGACGCUGAGGAGCGAAAGCGUGGGUAGCGAACAGGAUUAGAUACCCUGGUAGUCCACGCCGUAAACGGUGGGUACUAGGU